Molecule: small RNA, 467 nt
Filed under: Pongo abelii (Sumatran orangutan)
Lineage: Eukaryota; Metazoa; Chordata; Mammalia; Primates; Hominidae
Description: retained intron
Source: RNAcentral
GCAGAGGAUUUUUCAGCUCAUCUGAAAUCUUCCCUUGGUGGUAUAGUUGGGACACAGAAGCCACAGUUCAGACCUAUCCCAAGUUGGUUCUCUGGGUACCUUUUGUAGGAAUAUGAAAACGGGGGCCAGUGCCUUGGCUCCACAGCUCUGACGGGAUACACACUCCUGACUUCCCAGCGAGAAUAUCUCCGCCUUUUGGACGCUCUCUGCCCUGAAUCCUUGGGAGACCAUACUCAGGAAGAGCCUGACUCCCUCUUGGAAGUGCCUGUGAACUUCCCGCUGUUCCUGCAGCACCCCUUCCGCCGGCACCUCUGCUUCUCUGCAGCCACCAGGGAGGCACAGCAUGCCUGGAGGCUGGCCCUGCAGGGUGGCAUCCGGCUUCAGGGCACAGUCCUGCAGCGAAGCCAGGCCCCUGCUGCCCGGGCCUUCCUGGACGCCGUCCGACUCUACCGGCAGCACCAAGGCCA